GACAGAGGUGCCGAGCGUUAGGCGGAAUCACUGGGCUUAAAGCGUGUGUAGGCGGAUCGUUAAGUACCUUGUGAAAUCCCACGGCUCAACUGUGGAACUGCUGGGUAUACUGGCGAUCUUGAGCCACCUAGGGGCGAGCGGAACAAGCGGUGGAGCGGUGAAAUGCGUAGAUAUCGCUUGGAACGCCAAUGGUGAAAACAGCUCGCUGGGGGUGUGCUGACGCUGAGACACGAAAGCCAGGGGAGCGAACGGG
RNAcentral lists this ribosomal RNA (253 nucleotides) under uncultured bacterium. Its description in RNAcentral is "partial 16S ribosomal RNA". It matches the Rfam family "Bacterial small subunit ribosomal RNA", at positions 524 to 776 of the family's 1533-position model. The record is from RNAcentral.